AAUCCAUAGGUUAAUGAGGCGAACCGGGGGAACUGAAACAUCUAAGUACCCCGAGGAAAAGAAAUCAACCGAGAUUCCCCCAGUAGCGGCGAGCGAACGGGGAGGAGCCCAGAGCCUGAAUCAGCAUGUGUGUUAGUGGAAGCGUCUGGAAAGGCGCGCGAUACAGGGUGACAGCCCCGUACACAAAAGCGCAUGUGCUGUGAGCUCGAUGAGUAGGGCGGGACACGUGGUAUCCUGUCUGAAUAUGGGGGGACCAUCCUCCAAGGCUAAAUACUCCUGACUGACCGAUAGUGAACCAGUACCGUGAGGGAAAGGCGAAAAGAACCCCGGCGAGGGGAGUGAAAAAGAACCUGAAACCGUGUACGUACAAGCAGUGGGAGCACAGGUUUACCUGUGUGACUGCGUACCUUUUGUAUAAUGGGUCAGCGACUUAUAUUCUGUAGCAAGGUUAACCGAAUAGGGGAGCCGGAGGGAAACCGAGUCUUAAUUGGGCGUUAAGUUGCAGGGUAUAGACCCGAAACCCGGUGAUCUAGCCAUGGGCAGGUUGAAGGUUGGGUAACACUAACUGGAGGACCGAACCGACUAAUGUUGAAAAAUUAGCGGAUGACCUGUGGCUGGGGGUGAAAGGCCAAUCAAACCGGGAGAUAGCUGGUUCUCCCCGAAAGCUAUUUAGGUAGCGCCUCGUGAAUUCAUCUCCGGGGGUAGAGCACUGUUUCGGCUAGGGGGCCAUCCCGGCUUACCAACCCGAUGCAAACUGCGAAUACCGGAGAAUGUUAUCACGGGAGACACACGGCGGGUGCUAACGUCCGUCGUGAAGAGGGAAACAACCCAGACCGCCAGCUAAGGUCCCAAAGUCAUGGUUAAGUGGGAAACGAUGUGGGAAGGCCCAGACAGCCAGGAUGUUGGCUUAGAAGCAGCCAUCAUUUAAAGAAAGCGUAAUAGCUCACUGGUCGAGUCGGCCUGCGCGGAAGAUGUAACGGGGCUAAACCAUGCACCGAAGC
RNAcentral lists this ribosomal RNA (1001 nucleotides) under Salmonella enterica subsp. enterica serovar Enteritidis. RNAcentral describes it as "partial 23S ribosomal RNA". It matches the Rfam family "Bacterial large subunit ribosomal RNA", at positions 161 to 1200 of the family's 2925-position model. Lineage: Bacteria; Pseudomonadati; Pseudomonadota; Gammaproteobacteria; Enterobacterales; Enterobacteriaceae. The record is from RNAcentral.